Gambusia affinis (western mosquitofish) is the source of this 398-nucleotide long non-coding RNA. RefSeq lists it as uncharacterized. The record is from RefSeq and is a predicted model, not a curated record. Lineage: Eukaryota; Metazoa; Chordata; Actinopteri; Cyprinodontiformes; Poeciliidae. The transcript has 3 exons.
UAAAGCCCCGCCCCCAGCUCACAGUUUUACUUCCUCUUCCUCUCCACUGUGGCCGUGUCUUCUGUUCCGCGUCUCCCAAACAAAUCAAUGCACUUCUUCAAAUCUGCAUUACAAGAAUUGAUGGCUCUGCUAGUUCAGAACUCCGCUGGGAUUCCGCCAUUAUUAGCCCCGGGUCGCUAUGUACUUACCAUUGAGGUCAAGUACUCCUUACUCUGCUGAAAAGGUUGAGGUUUUUUAAUGGACCAGAAUCUUCACCUGGAUGUAUUGAUGGCGAACUCGACAAUGGAUGAUGGACUAAGAAAUGAAUCUAUUUUGACUCAACUAACUCUCUCGCUUGUUCUUACUGCUAUUUUUGUCUUUUUUUGUACAACCACUUAAUAUAUUUACUAAAACUGAAA